UACAGAGGUCUCAAGCGUUGUUCGGAUUCAUUGGGCGUAAAGGGCGCGCAGGCGGCGGACCAAGUCAGGCGUGAAAGCCCCGGGCUUAACCUGGGAGGUGCGUCUGGGACUGGUACGCUAGAGUUCGGGAGAGGAGAGUGGAAUUCCCAGUGUAGAGGUGAAAUUCGUAGAUAUUGGGAAGAACACCUGUGGCGAAGGCGGCUCUCUGGACCGAGACUGACGCUGAGGCGCGAAAGCGUGGGGAGCAAACAGG
Molecule: ribosomal RNA, 253 nt
Filed under: uncultured bacterium
Lineage: Bacteria
Description: partial 16S ribosomal RNA
Rfam family: Bacterial small subunit ribosomal RNA
Source: RNAcentral